This 460-nucleotide ribosomal RNA is filed under the name uncultured bacterium. Its description in RNAcentral is "partial 16S ribosomal RNA". It matches the Rfam family "Bacterial small subunit ribosomal RNA", at positions 338 to 795 of the family's 1533-position model. The record is from RNAcentral.
CCUACGGGCGGCAGCAGUGAGGAAUAUUGGUCAAUGGGCGAGAGCCUGAACCAGCCAAGUCGCUUGAAGUCUUCCUUCCCUCCUUUUUUUCCCCUUCUUUUUUCCUUUCUCCCUUUAUUCCACGUGUUGUCUUAGCGAGAGUACCUGAAGAAAAAGCAUCGGCUAACUCCGUGCCAGCAGACUCGGUAAUACGGAGUAUGCGAGCGUUAUCCGGAUUUAUUGGGUUUAAAGGGUGCGUAGGCGGAAUAUCAAGUCAGCGGUAAAAAUUCGGGGCUCAACCCCGUAGUGACGUUGAAACUGAGGUUCGUGAGUGGGCGAGAAGUAUGCGGAAUGCGUGGUGUAGAGGUGAAAUGCAUAGAUAUCAAGCAGAACUCCGAGUGCGAAGGCAGCAUACCGGCGCCCAAAUGACGCUGAAGCACGAAAGCGUGGGUAUAGAAAAGGAUGAGAGAAAAAAGGAGGC